UCUCCUUUAGUACAGUGGUUAGUAUACCAGCCUGUCACGUUGGUGACCCGAGUUCAAUUCUCGGAAGGAGAG
This is a transfer RNA of Edhazardia aedis, 72 nucleotides long. It matches the Rfam family "tRNA". Rfam says of the family: Transfer RNA (tRNA) molecules are approximately 80 nucleotides in length. Their secondary structure includes four short double-helical elements and three loops (D, anti-codon, and T loops). Further hydrogen bonds mediate the characteristic L-shaped molecular structure. tRNAs have two regions of fundamental functional importance: the anti-codon, which is responsible for specific mRNA codon recognition, and the 3' end, to which the tRNAs corresponding amino acid is attached (by aminoacyl-tRNA synthetases). tRNAs cope with the degeneracy of the genetic code in two manners: having more than one tRNA (with a specific anti-codon) for a particular amino acid; and 'wobble' base-pairing, i.e. permitting non-standard base-pairing at the 3rd anti-codon position. Lineage: Eukaryota; Fungi; Microsporidia; Culicosporidae. The record is from Rfam.